RNAcentral lists this ribosomal RNA (534 nucleotides) under uncultured Pseudomonadota bacterium. Its description in RNAcentral is "bacterial SSU rRNA". It matches the Rfam family "Bacterial small subunit ribosomal RNA", at positions 97 to 611 of the family's 1533-position model. Lineage: Bacteria; Pseudomonadati; Pseudomonadota. The record is from RNAcentral.
GGCAGACGGGUGAGGAACACGUACCUAACCAACCGCGUCCAGGGGGAUAGUCCUUCGAAAGGGGGUUGAAUACCGCAUACGCUCGGUCCCGUGAGGGGGCUGAGGAAAGCUGGCCUCUGCGAGCAAGCUGGCGGGGGGCGACGGGGGCGCGGCCUAUUAGCUAGCUGGUGGGGUAAUGGCCUACCAGGGCGACGAUGGGUAGCUGGUCUGAGAGGAUGAUCAGCCACACUGGGACUGCGACACGGCCCAGACUCCUACGGGAGGCAGCAGUGGGGAAUUUUGCCCAAUGGGCGCAAGCCUGAGGCAGCAACGCCGCGUGAGUGAUGACGCCUUUCGAGGUGUAAAGCUCUGUCGAGCGGGACGAAGGCCUGGGGGUGAAGAGCCUCCGAGGAUGACGGUACCGCUGGAGGAAGCCCCGGCUAACUCCGUGCCAGCAGCCGCGGUAAGACGGAGGGGGCGAGCGUUGUUCGGAAUGGCUGGGCGUAAAGCGCGCGUAGGCGGUGGCACAAGUGGUGCGUGAAAGCCCUCGGCUUA